This 24-nucleotide non-coding RNA is filed under the name Mus musculus (house mouse). RNAcentral also lists the same sequence under 4 other names. The record is from RNAcentral. Lineage: Eukaryota; Metazoa; Chordata; Mammalia; Rodentia; Muridae.
GGUGAACCUGCGGAAGGAUCAUUC